ACUACGGGUGGCAGCAGUAGGGAAUCUUGCACAAUGGGCGAAAGCCUGAUGGAGCAACGCCGCGUGGGUGAAGAAGGUCUUCGGAUCGUAAAACCCUGUUGUUAGAGAAGAAAGUGCGUGAGAGUAACUGUGCACGUUUCGACGGUACCUAACCAGAAAGCAACGGCUAACUACGUGCCAGCAGCCGCGGUCAUACGUAGGUGGCAAGCGUUAAACGGAUUUAUUGGGCGUAAAGGGCAAGUAGGCGGUCUUUUAAGUCUGAUGUGAAAGCCUUCGGCUUAACCGGGGUAGUGCAUUGGAAACUGGGAAACUUGAGUGCAGGAGAGGAGAGUGGAACUCCAGGUGUAGGAGUGAAAUGCGUAGAUAUAUGGAAGAACACCAGUGGCGAAGGCGGCUAUCUGGUCUGUAACUGACGCUGAGGUUCGAAAGCGUGGGUAGCAAACAGGAUUAGAUACCCCGGUAGUC
RNAcentral lists this ribosomal RNA (465 nucleotides) under uncultured bacterium. RNAcentral's name for it is "partial 16S ribosomal RNA". It matches the Rfam family "Bacterial small subunit ribosomal RNA", at positions 338 to 795 of the family's 1533-position model. The record is from RNAcentral.